GGGAACUGAAAACGGGACGACCCUUCGGGAGCCUAUACAGGUUGUUGCAUGGCUGUCGUCAGCUCGUGUCGUGAGAUGUUCGGUUAAGUCCGCUAACGAGCGCAACCCUCGUCGUAUGUUAUAUGUGCCAUACGAGACUGCCGGUAAAAGCCGGAGGAAGGUGAGGAUGAUGUCAAGUCAGCAUGACCUUUAUAUCCAGGGCUACACACACGCUACAAUGGUCUGUACAAUGGGUAGCCAAGCCGCGAGGCGGAGCCAAUCCUGAAAGCAGGCCUCAGUUCAGAUUGCAGUCUGCAACUCGAUUGCAUGAAGCCGGAGUUGCUAGUAACCGCAGGUCAGCAAUACUGCGGUGAAUACGUUCCCGGGUCUU
This 370-nucleotide ribosomal RNA is filed under the name uncultured Anaerolineaceae bacterium. RNAcentral describes it as "bacterial SSU rRNA". It matches the Rfam family "Bacterial small subunit ribosomal RNA", at positions 995 to 1382 of the family's 1533-position model. The record is from RNAcentral. Lineage: Bacteria; Bacillati; Chloroflexota; Anaerolineae; Anaerolineales; Anaerolineaceae.